RNAcentral lists this long non-coding RNA (528 nucleotides) under Brachypodium distachyon (stiff brome). RNAcentral describes it as "long non-coding RNA (BDIS_LNC004964)". The record is from RNAcentral. Lineage: Eukaryota; Viridiplantae; Streptophyta; Magnoliopsida; Poales; Poaceae.
CGGUUGGACGAACUGCUCGUGGGAUCGGCGAGGAGGAGCAGGCCGAACGACUACUCGGCAUCGACACGCAUCAUCGACUCUACUUCCGCUACGGGUCUGCGCGUCUAGUGGUAAUCUCGUGAUCCAUUAUCAACAGCAUUGAUCCGGGCGGAAUCGGUAUUUUUUUUUAUUUUGUGCUAGCAUAGCCUACUGCGUUCCCCAAUAGUGGUAUCAGAGCCGAUGCUGUCUCUUUUGGAUUCGGAUUACGUGCAUAAGUGUUAUGCGAUUAGUAGUAGAUGUGAUCUAUUGCUAUCUUGGUGGUCAAUCUAAGUGUUAGAUCGGUUUUGUACUCAAUCGAUUGAUCGAUUAUACUCGGGGAUCAUGGAUAUUCGAUUCUGAUAAUCGUAAUGCUGAUGGUCGUGACACAAAAUACUCCUACUGGUCGGAUUUCCGCCAUCGGAGUAUACAGUGAAACGUAAAUCCAGAUGCGAUAUUGUUGAAGGUCGUGACACAACAUACUCCUACCGGUCGGAUUUCCGCCAUCGGAAU